Molecule: transfer RNA, 74 nt
Filed under: Phytohabitans rumicis
Lineage: Bacteria; Bacillati; Actinomycetota; Actinomycetes; Micromonosporales; Micromonosporaceae
Description: tRNA-Ala
Source: RNAcentral
UCGCCGUAGCCCGGUUCGCGGGCGCGGUAGUUGGCGACGAUCUGGUCCUCGUCGGGCUCGUCGAUGACGACGGC